This 440-nucleotide ribosomal RNA is filed under the name uncultured bacterium. RNAcentral's name for it is "partial 16S ribosomal RNA". It matches the Rfam family "Bacterial small subunit ribosomal RNA", at positions 338 to 795 of the family's 1533-position model. The record is from RNAcentral.
CCUACGGGGGGCAGCAGUAGGGAAUAUUGCUCAAUGGGGGAAACCCUGAAGCAGCAAAGCCGCGUGGAGGAUGAAGGUUUUCGGAGUGUAAACUCCUUUUGUUAGAGAAGAAAAUGACGGUAUCUAACGAAUAAGCACCGGCUAACACCGUGCCAGCAGCGGCGGUAAUACGGAGGGUGCAAGCGUUACUCGGAAUCACUGGGCGUAAAGGGCGAGUAGGCGGGAUAGCAAGUCAGAUGUGAAAUUCUAUGGCUUAACCAUAGAACUGCAUUUGAAACUGUUAUUCUAGAGUAUGGGAGAGGUAGGUGGAAUUCUUGGUGUAGCGGUUAAAUCCUUAGAGAUCAAGAGGAAUACUCAUUGCGAAGGCGACCUGCUAGAACAUAACUGACGCUGAUGCGCGAAAGCGUGGGGAGCAAACAGGAUUAGAUACCCUGGUAGUC